Molecule: ribosomal RNA, 253 nt
Filed under: uncultured bacterium
Lineage: Bacteria
Description: partial 16S ribosomal RNA
Rfam family: Bacterial small subunit ribosomal RNA
Source: RNAcentral
UACGGAGGGUGCAAGCGUUGCUCGGAAUUACUGGGCGUAAAGCGCGUGUAGGCGGUCUCGUGUGUCUGGCGUGAAAGCCCCGGGCUCACCCCGGGAAGUGCGUUGGAAACUGCGAGACUAGAGUUCCGGAGAGGAAGGUGGAAUUCCAGGUGUAGAGGUGAAAUUCGUAGAUAUUAGGAAGAACACCAGUGGCGAAGGCGGCUCACUGGUCCGGAACUGACGCUGAGGUGAGAAAGCGUGGGGAGCAAACAGG